This 384-nucleotide ribosomal RNA is filed under the name uncultured bacterium. RNAcentral describes it as "bacterial SSU rRNA". It matches the Rfam family "Bacterial small subunit ribosomal RNA", at positions 30 to 416 of the family's 1533-position model. The record is from RNAcentral.
AUUGGACGCUGGCGGAAUGCUUUACACAUGCAAGUCGAACGGCAGCACGGGGCAACCUGGUGGCGAGUGGCGAACGGGUGAGUAAUAUAUCGGAACGUGCCCAAUCGUGGGGGAUAACGUAGCGAAAGUUACGCUAAUACCGCAUACGAUCUACGGAUGAAAGCGGGGGAUCGCAAGACCUCGCGCGAAUGGAGCGGCCGAUAUCAGAUUAGGUAGUUGGUGGGGUAAAGGCUCACCAAGCCAACGAUCUGUAGCUGGUCUGAGAGGACGACCAGCCACACUGGAACUGAGACACGGUCCAGACUCCUACGGGAGGCAGCAGUGGGAAUUUUGGACAAUGGGACGCAAGCCUGAUCCAGCCAUUCCGCGUGCAGGAUGAAGGCC